GAUACCCUGGUAGUCCACGCCGUAAACGAUGAGUGCUAAGUGUUAGGGGGUUUCCGCCCCUUAGUGCUGCAGCUAACGCAUUAAGCACUCCGCCUGGGGAGUACGGUCGCAAGACUGAAACUCAAAGGAAUUGACGGGGGCCCGCACAAGCGGUGGAGCAUGUGGUUUAAUUCGAAGCAACGCGAAGAACCUUACCAGGUCUUGACAUCCUCUGACAAUCCUAGAGAUAGGACGUCCCCUUCGGGGGCAGAGUGACAGGUGGUGCAUGGUUGUCGUCAGCUCGUGUCGUGAGAUGUUGGGUUAAGU
This 306-nucleotide ribosomal RNA is filed under the name Bacillus subtilis. Its description in RNAcentral is "bacterial SSU rRNA". It matches the Rfam family "Bacterial small subunit ribosomal RNA", at positions 781 to 1085 of the family's 1533-position model. The record is from RNAcentral. Lineage: Bacteria; Bacillati; Bacillota; Bacilli; Caryophanales; Bacillaceae.